CAGAUUGAACGCUGGCGGCAGGCUUAACACAUGCAAGUCGAGCGGAGAUGAGGUGCUUGCACCUUAUCUUAGCGGCGGACGGGUGAGUAAUGCUUAGGAAUCUGCCAUUUAGUGGGGGACAACAUUCCGAAAGGAAUGCUAAUACCGCAUACGUCCUACGGGAGAAAGCAGGGGAUCUUCGGACCUUGCGCUAAAUGAUGAGCCUAAGUCGGAUUAGCUAGUUGGUGGGGUAAAGGCCUACCAAGGCGACGAUCUGUAGCGGGUCUGAGAGGAUGAUCCGCCACACUGGGACUGAGACACGGCCCAGACUCCUACGGGAGGCAGCAGUGGGGAAUAUUGGACAAUGGGCGGAAGCCUGAUCCAGCCAUGCCGCGUGUGUGAAGAAGGCCUUUUGGUUGUAAAGCACUUUAAGCGAGGAGGAGGCUACUAGUACUAAUACUACUGGAUAGUGGACGUUACUCGCAGAAUAAGCACCGGCUAACUCUGUGCCAGCAGCCGCGGUAAUACAGAGGGUGCGAGCGUUAAUCGGAUUUACUGGGCGUAAAGCGUGCGUAGGCGGCUUUUUAAGUCGGAUGUGAAAUCCCCGAGCUUAACUUGGGAAUUGCAUUCGAUACUGGGAAGCUAGAGUAUGGGAGAGGAUGGUAGAAUUCCAGGUGUAGCGGUGAAAUGCGUAGAGAUCUGGAGGAAUACCGAUGGCGAAGGCAGCCAUCUGGCCUAAUACUGACGCUGAGGUACGAAAGCAUGGGGAGCAAACAGGAUUAGAUACCCUGGUAGUCCAUGCCGUAAA
RNAcentral lists this ribosomal RNA (787 nucleotides) under bacterium. RNAcentral describes it as "bacterial SSU rRNA". It matches the Rfam family "Bacterial small subunit ribosomal RNA", at positions 25 to 806 of the family's 1533-position model. The record is from RNAcentral.